AUGGAACUGACCAAGUGGACACCUCAGGGAAUCCCCAACCAGACCCAGGCCAGCACUGGUCUCAGCUCCCUGCUGAGGGACCACAUGGAGGGGAGGAGCAGCACCAACUCCACCAGGGCCCUGAAACUUCCAGAUGGGACCAGCGCCGCCUGGUACAUUCUCACCAUCAUUGGCAUCUACGGAGUGAUCUUCCUCUUCCGGUUGGCCAGCAACAUCCUCAGAAAGAAUGAUAAAUCUUUGGAAGAUAUUUACUACUCCAAUCUGACCUCCGAACUCAAAAAGAAAGGUCUCCAGAGCAAGGUGGCCGAAUGCUCUACACUGACCAUCAGCAACAGAGCUGUCCUCCAGCCCGGCCAGGCCAGCCUGGGGCCAAAAUAUAAAAACAGUGAGUGCCAAACUGAAAUCCAGGGGAUCCCUUGAAAGUCAAGGCACGCUGAACUCCACAGAAGAGGCCCAACCUUCCUACCAGGGGAGACAGCUUUGAGUUUACCUGGAAUGUUGAGAGAGGAGUCGGGUACUUGAAUGGGGCUGGAAGAGCAUCCCUGGGGCACUUAGGCCAAUGGGAGUGUGAUCGGAGCCAGUGUCCCAUUUCCUUCUCAGGCUUUGUGGCACUUUGAGACAGGACAGCAGGGGCGGCAGCUUCUGGUCAUACCCUUCACCGGGAAAGCUUGCAAUCUGGGGAAGGACUUGGAGCAUUCAGUGUUCUCAGAGAAUCUAGGAGAUUCCUGAGGGUAUAUGUGAAUGUAGCCUCUUGUCAUGGAAAGAAGGCUGAAUUUGGAAUUGAGCAUCCUGGAUUCAAGUUUUCAACUUCCAGGGGGUCACAUGAACUUUGAACAACUUGUGGCUCUCACCUGGAACACACAGCAGUGGGCUGUAUGGUUUCAAAGAGCCAUUCAUUCUAGACGUUCUCACUUGACUAUAAAACCAAGGUUCUUCAUUUUCAUUGAGGUCAUGGCAUCUAUUGAAAAAGAGCAUUGGUUCUGGAGUCAGAAGAAUCAAACUCUAGUUAAGGACACUUUGAUGUCCUUGAACACACCAUCUCAUUUCUCUAGACCUUAGUCUGCACACAGAUAAAAUGAGAAUAAUAAUGUCUGUUCUGCCAAUCUUGUAAAAUAGAUAAGAGCUAAUGAAAUCAUGCACAUGAAUAUAUUUUUCAAAGUAAAAAUAAAUAUGUAAAAUAUAAGUCCUGUGUUCAUAGUGGUGAUGGUAGUUGAUGCUGAU
RNAcentral lists this long non-coding RNA (1221 nucleotides) under Mustela putorius furo (domestic ferret). RNAcentral's name for it is "lncRNA (ENSMPUG00000029899.1)". Lineage: Eukaryota; Metazoa; Chordata; Mammalia; Carnivora; Mustelidae. The record is from RNAcentral.